AUUGAACGCUGGCGGCAUGCCUUACACAUGCAAGUCGAACGGCAGCGGACCUUCGGGUGCCGGCGAGUGGCGAACGGGUGAGUAAUGCAUCGGAACGUGCCAUUGAGUGGGGGAUAACGUAGCGAAAGUUGCGCUAAUACCGCAUAUUCUGUGAGCAGGAAAGCAGGGGACCGCAGGGCCUUGCGCUCUUUGAGCGGCCGAUGUCAGAUUAGCUAGUUGGUGAGGUAAAGGCUUACCAAGGCGACGAUCUGUAGCGGGUCUGAGAGGAUGAUCCGCCACACUGGAACUGAGACACGGUCCAGACUCCUACGGGAGGCAGCAGUGGGGAAUUUUGGACAAUGGGGGCAACCCUGAUCCAGCCAUGCCGCGUGAGUGAAGAAGGCCUCGG
RNAcentral lists this ribosomal RNA (388 nucleotides) under uncultured bacterium. RNAcentral's name for it is "bacterial SSU rRNA". It matches the Rfam family "Bacterial small subunit ribosomal RNA", at positions 30 to 420 of the family's 1533-position model. The record is from RNAcentral.